Molecule: transfer RNA, 76 nt
Filed under: Propionibacterium acidifaciens F0233
Lineage: Bacteria; Bacillati; Actinomycetota; Actinomycetes; Propionibacteriales; Propionibacteriaceae
Also listed under: 1 other name
Description: tRNA-Lys
Rfam family: tRNA
About the family: Transfer RNA (tRNA) molecules are approximately 80 nucleotides in length.
Source: RNAcentral
GCCUCCAUAGCUCAGCUGGCAGAGCAAGGGACUUUUAAUCCUUGGGUCCGGGGUUCGAGCCCCCGUGGGGGCACCG